AUGGUCAUAAUUGAUGAUAUUUGGCAUGGUGGAGAAUGGGAAACAAUCAGAAGAUCUCUUCCACUGAAUACUCUGGGCAGCAGAAUUGUCACAACAACUCGUAUUAAUGCUAUAGCUGAGAAGUGGCGUGAUGAUUUUGAUGCCUUGAUCUAUAAAAUGGACACUGAAUGGGAUUAUGUUCGUGAAAUAUGGGCCUACAUAAUUGGUGAGGAAGAUGUUGCCGCUGGGAUGGUAGCAAAGUUUGACAUGGUUGCCGCAGAUUUUGAUUGUGACCAUCCUGUUGUGCACAUGUGCGGUGGUAUGCCAUUAGCACUAGUCUGUAUGUUUUCAGCGUUGGCAAAGGAGCAAGAACAACAAGGGCUGCAUGUAAAGAAGGCAAGUGAUGUACAAGAUAGGAUUUGGGAAAAAGUAAAGCGAAAUGGAAUCCAGAAUACUCCAGGUUUUGAACCAUUGGUCGAGAGUUUGCAGCUGGGCUACAUCCAUCUUCCUCAUCAUAUGCUGAAGACUUGCCUUUUGUACUGCUGUAUAUACCCUGAGGGUCGGGAGAUUAAAAGGGGUCAUUUGAUGAGGAGAUGGACCGCAGAAAGAUUUGUCUGUAAAGAGGAGAUAGCAAAAGGUUAUUUUGAAGAGCUUGUUAACAGGGGAUUGAUUCCGUUUGUAAAGAAAAGAUACAGUCAGAACUAUGGCAAAUACAGAGUGCACCCCGUGAUGCGAAAUUUCCUUAGAUGCAAACUCCGAGAAGACAAUUUCAUUACAUGCAGUUCUGAUAUUCCAGCGUCAUAUGCCUGCCGAAUCCGUUUGCUCUGUAUCGAUGAGGAUCCGAUGUCAGACUCAGACUCUGUAACGGAUGAUGGUCCCAUGUCAGAAAUUGAUUGGUCCCAUAUUCGGUCCCUUGUUGUGUUUGGAAGUGCCAGGAGAGCCCGCUUGGGACAGUUGAAAUGUCUGCGUGUGUUAGAUCUUCAGUUCAAUGAGGGUCUUGAGAAUGACGAUCUGAAGGAUAUGUGUGGCCUAUUCCGUGUGAGGCACCUGUUUGGCCUUCGUGGGAGGUUUAUAAGUGAGAUCCCACCAGAAAUACGGGGGCUGCAGCAUCUGGAGACUUUGGAAGUGAGGGGAACACGGAUCACAGGCCUACCCGUUGAGAUUGGAAAGCUGCAGCAUUUGAAGAACCUGGACUUGAAGCAGAACGAGUAUCUCAAGGAGGUGCCUAGGGUGAUCCGAGACCUGCAGCAUUUGGAGAAUCUUUCCUUGAAUACAACAGGCAUCACAGAGCUACCCAGGGAGAUCAUCACGAGACUACCACAAUUGAGGAGCCUUGACGUGAGUAGAAACCCAAAAAUCACCGAGUUACCCAGUGAGAUUUGGAACCUCCAGCAUUUGAGGACACUGAAUUUGGGUAACACACAGAUCACACAACUGCCUCGGGAGGUUGCGAACCUCCAGAAUUUGGAGACUCUGAACUUGAACCGCACACGUAUCAGAAAGCUGCCUCGGGAGAUCGGCAAACUGCAGCAUCUGGAAUCACUGAACUUGUACCUUUCAUUGGUGAGGAAGAUACCGAUGGAAAUGGAAGGACUUAAUAAACUGAAGAGUUUGGUAACAGAUGGGUUCAACGCAUUGCCCUGGGAAGCUGCUAAGCUUUCACGAUUGUUGGGAUUGCCCGAGGGUCUCUGCCAAAUUUGGAAGAACAGUGAUGUGGUGUCUUCGCUAGCCGGGGAGAUCCUGCAUUUGAAGUUCACUCAGCUAUUGGGCCUAACCAUCGGCACGAAACAGAUGCGCAUCCCGCGGUGGAUCAAGGAUCACUUCAGUGACCUGGGCACCUUGGACAUCAGGGUCUGUAAGCUAGAGGAGGAUGGUCUCAAGAUUCUGCGGGAGAUGCCCAACCUUCAGAUUCUCGACCUGUACUUCGAAGUCGUUCCGAGAGAGCCGGUAGCCAUCAGAGGUGGAGGGUUUCCCAGGCUUAUGAGACUCACUAUUGACAGCCGAGUGCCACGGGUGUUCUUCCAGGAAGGAGCUAUGCCCAUGCUCGAAUGGCUUGUUAUCGUGUUCCAGUUCUAUGCUGGCCCACCAAAUAGAGAUCCUGUCGGUAUCAAUCAUCUCACGGAACUCAGCAUAGUCCAGAUUCGUUGUGAAAAGGAAUGCUACAGCGCAGACGCCCCAUGCAUCAGCGCCACAAUUGACGUCCUUCGAGAAGAAGCCUGGGAGCAUCGCAACGAUGUGUUAUUUUCUGUCACUGGUUACCGUUCAGGGACUUACGCAGCGAACAAAAAUAGUGCAGAUAUUUUGGAAGAGGUCAAUGACGCUUGCAGCAGUGAGACGGGCGAGUUCGAACGAGGAGGAGAGCAGCAGCAGGGUGAGAUGGAGGAAGAGCGGAGCCAGGCAUAA
This 2382-nucleotide ribosomal RNA is filed under the name Triticum aestivum (bread wheat). RNAcentral describes it as "partial small subunit ribosomal RNA". The record is from RNAcentral. Lineage: Eukaryota; Viridiplantae; Streptophyta; Magnoliopsida; Poales; Poaceae.